AGCCAGUGACGACGAAGGAGACGACGGCUGAAGCUUGAGACGAGGAAGGCAAGAAUCGAGCAUGAACCACAACGGCUUGACAGUACGGGACGAUGAAAUCACUGUAUCUCGGACGCACCUUGGAGCGGACCUGCAACGCGGGAAGAAGAAGCCGCGCGCACUUGGACAAACUCGAUGUCAGUAUCAGAGCGGCUUAGUGAAACGGGUUG
This 209-nucleotide long non-coding RNA is filed under the name Brassica napus (rape). RNAcentral's name for it is "long non-coding RNA (BNAP_LNC005612)". Lineage: Eukaryota; Viridiplantae; Streptophyta; Magnoliopsida; Brassicales; Brassicaceae. The record is from RNAcentral.